Molecule: ribosomal RNA, 460 nt
Filed under: uncultured bacterium
Lineage: Bacteria
Description: partial 16S ribosomal RNA
Rfam family: Bacterial small subunit ribosomal RNA
Source: RNAcentral
CCUACGGGGGGCAGCAGUCGAGAAUCAUUCACAAUGGGGGAAACCCUGAUGGUGCGACGCCGCGUGAGGGAUGACGGUCCUACGGAUUGUAAACCUCUUUUGCCGGGGAGCAAGCGUGCGUUCGUGAACGCGCGUCGAGAGUACCCGGAGAAAAAGCAUCGGCUAACUCCGUGCCAGCAGCCGCGGUAAUACGGAGGAUGCGAGCGUUAUCCGGAUUUAUUGGGUUUAAAGGGUGCGUAGGCGGGAUGCCAAGUCAGCGGUAAAAAUGCGGUGCUCAACGCCGUCGAGCCGUUGAAACUGGCGUUCUUGAGUGGGCGAGAAGUAUGCGGAAUGCGUGGUGUAGCGGUGAAAUGCAUAGAUAUCACGCAGAACUCCGAUUGCGAAGGCAGCAUACCGGCGCCCUACUGACGCUGAGGCACGAAAGCGUGGGUAUCGAACAGGAUUAGAUACCCUAGUAGUC